AACGAGGCGGCUUGCCGCUGAAGUGAGCGAUACCCUGCUUCCAGGAAAAGCCACUAAGCUCCAGCUAUAUACGACCGUACCGCAAACCGACACUGGUGCGCGAGAUGAGUAUUCUAAGGCGCUUGAGAGAACUCUGGAGAAGGAACUCGGCAAAUUGACACCGUAACUUCGGAAGAAGGUGUGCCUUUAGUAGGUGAUCCAUUUACUUGGUGAGCCCAAUGAGGCUGCAAAAAAUCGGUGGCUGCGACUGUUUAUUAAAAACACAGCACUCUGCAAAGACGAAAGUCGACGUAUAGGGUGUGACGCCUGCCCGGUGCUGGAAGAUUAAAUGAUGGGGUGCAAGCUCUUGACUGAAGUCCCAGUAAACGGCGGCCGUAACAAUAACGGUCCUAAGGUAGCGAAAUUCCUUGUCGGGUAAGUUCCGACCUGCACGAAUGGCGUAACGAUGGCCACACUGUCUCCUCCAGAGACUCAGCGAAGUUGAAAUGUUUGUGAUGAUGCAAUCUCCCCGCGGAAAGACGGAAAGACCCCAUGAACCUUUACUGUAGCUUUACAUUGGACUUUGAACAGAUCUGUGUAGGAUAGGUGGGAGGCUUUGAAGCGGUGCCGCUAGGUGUCGUGGAGCCAACGUUGAAAUACCACCCUGGUGUGUUUGAGGUUCUAACCUUGGCCCGUGAUCCGGGUUGGGGACAGUGUAUGGUGGGCAGUUUGACUGGGGCGGUCUCCUCCCAAAGCGUAACGGAGGAGUUCGAAGGUACGCUAGGCACGGUCGGAAAUCGUGCUGAUAGUGCAUUGGCAUAAGCGUGCUUGACUGCGAGACUGACAAGUCGAGCAGGUACGAAAGUAGGACAAAGUGAUCCGGUGGUUCUGUAUGGAAGGGCCAUCGCUCAACGGAUAAAAGGUACUCUGGGGAUAACAGGCUGAUACCGCCCAAGAGUUCAUAUCGACGGCGGUGUUUGGCACCUCGAUGUCGGCUCAUCUCAUCCUGGGGCUGUAGCCGGUCCCAAGGGUAUGGCUGUUCGCCAUUUAAAGAGGUACGUGAGCUGGGUUUAAAACGUCGUGAGACAGUUUGGUCCCUAUCUUCCGUGGGCGCUGCAAGAUUGAGAGAGCCUGCUCCUAGUACGAGAGGACCGGAGUGGACGCACCUCUGGUGUAUCGGUUGUCACGCCAGUGGCAUCGCCGAGUAGCUAUGUGCGGAAGAGAUAACCGCUGAAAGCAUCUAAGCGGGAAACUCGUCUCAAGAUGAGUCUUGCCGGGGCCUUGAGCCCCCUGAAGAGUCGUUCUAGACCAGGACGUUGAUAGGAUGGGUGUGGAAGCCGGGUAACCGGUUAAGCUAACCAUUACUAAUUGCUCGUGCGGCUUGACCCG
Molecule: ribosomal RNA, 1368 nt
Filed under: metagenome
Description: bacterial LSU rRNA
Rfam family: Bacterial large subunit ribosomal RNA
Source: RNAcentral